AAAAGUCGUAACAAGGUUUCCGUAGGUGAACCUGCGGAAGGAUCAUUGU
Molecule: ribosomal RNA, 49 nt
Filed under: Indigofera perrieri
Lineage: Eukaryota; Viridiplantae; Streptophyta; Magnoliopsida; Fabales; Fabaceae
Also listed under: 1 other name
Description: partial 18S ribosomal RNA
Rfam family: Eukaryotic small subunit ribosomal RNA
Source: RNAcentral